AUUCUGGUGACCAGGCAAAAGAUAUACCUUCCUCUCAGAUAUAUUUCAGAGUCUGGAUGCUGCAGAGUUUUGUGUUUAAGAGUAUGAAAAGAAUUGGAUUUGCAAACAGAAAACAUUUCUGAGCAGGACAGAGUUUUAUGUGUGCCAGUGUAUGUGUGUUGGGAGGAAUGAAGAGAAGAAACUAGAGAAGAGGAGAUGAGCGAAAAUGGAUGA
Lepidothrix coronata (blue-crowned manakin) is the source of this 213-nucleotide long non-coding RNA. RefSeq lists it as uncharacterized. The record is from RefSeq and is a predicted model, not a curated record. NCBI's taxonomy places the organism in Eukaryota, Metazoa, Chordata, Aves, Passeriformes, Pipridae. The transcript is spliced from 3 exons.